This 1040-nucleotide long non-coding RNA is filed under the name Mytilus galloprovincialis (Mediterranean mussel). The record is from RNAcentral. Lineage: Eukaryota; Metazoa; Mollusca; Bivalvia; Mytilida; Mytilidae.
GUUUGUACUAACCAUGUAUUAUAACUCAAGAGAUAUUCUUGAUUUUCAAGGGCGUAAUAAUUUUUUAUUUCCACCACCUUUUUUUACUUCUCCGGCAUACUCUGUAUAUAUUUAACAUAAGAAGAUGUAAAAAAUAUUAAUUGCCAAUGAAAUUAGUAAUACCCGUCUGAACGAGUAAAGAAGACAGUAUGACCUUCAACAAUGAUCAACAUCCGUACCACAUAGUAAGAUAAGGAGGGCUGCGGCAUGGCAAAAUGUAAAACAAUUUAAAAUAAAAAAAAAAUAAACAAUCAUAAAUCAUUUAAACAAAUAAAAUUAUGAAACAUAAAGGCCAACAACUACCGACACUAGAAUAGAGGUGUCGGACUGAGGACAAACACAUACUGAAAAUGGCGGGUUCGAAAUAAUUUAAUCUUAGUUUGUAUCAUUACAUGUAUAACCUCGUUUGAAAGAGAGCCAUAUAGCAAAAUACUUCGACGAAAAGACUCAUUUAAUUUAUUGCCUUUAAACAUUCGACCUCACUUGGACAUUAAUCAUUGUUUUCCUUUGGUAUCCCCCACCAAAGAAAUCUAUUAGAGUAAAUAUUUUAUUUCUAUUUGUUUGGCCUGCAGAUUUUUUAUCCAUUCAAAAUAACAUUGAGUUGUCUUUCUUGGUGCUCCAAUAUUUCCAAAUGCAUGGUUACCUAUUUCAAAACGUUAGAAUAGUGGUGCUAGGUUGUAAGGAUUCAAGAUAAUUUUAUGAUUACAAGAAUUAUCCUAAAAUAUCACUGGUUUUUAUAAUCACACUUACGUUUAAAUGAAAAUAAGGUUUAAUGUAGGAUACCACAUACAUAGGUAGUCAAGGUCGUUAAAAAAACCUCAAUAAUAAGAGUCCAAAACAAAAAAAAAGAUAAUAAUGCAUUAGUAAAAUUUUUAUAACAAAACUUAUAUAUCCGAAGAAUAAUAAUGACAAACCCGUAUUAUUGCCUUAGUGGGGUUUUUUUUAUACAUUUAAUACUUAAUAUAUAUAUAUAUGCGUCUCUAUGUCGCUAUGGCUCCAUA